Non-coding RNA from Myodes glareolus (Bank vole), 845 nucleotides. The record is from RefSeq and is a predicted model, not a curated record. Lineage: Eukaryota; Metazoa; Chordata; Mammalia; Rodentia; Cricetidae.
CUGCCGCCACCAUGAGCGAUCAGCAGCUGGACUGUGCCUUGGACCUAAUGAGGCGCCAGCCUCCACAGCAGAUCUAGAAAAACCUCAGUGACCUGAUCGACCUGGUCCCCAGUCUGUGUGAAGAUCUCCUGUCGCCAGAGACAAGGAGGUGGGCAAGGACUACCUUUUAUGCGACUACAACAGAGACGGGGAUUCCUGUAGGUCACCAUGGAGUGACAAGUAUGAUCCUCCUUUGGAAGAUGGGGCCAUGCCAUCUGCUCGACUGAGAAAGCUGGAGGUGGAGGCCAACAAUGCCUUCGACCAAUACGGAGACCUGUAUUUUGAAGGUGACGUCUCAUCUAUCUACGUCUGGGAUCUGGAUCACGGCUUCGCUGGAGUGAUCCUCAUAAAGAAGGCUGGAGACAGGUCAAAGAAGAUCAAAGGCGGCUGGGAUUCCAUCCAUGUGGUGGACGUACAGGAGAAGUCCAGCGGCCGUACCGCCCAUUACAAGUUGACCUCCACGGUGAUACUGUGGCUGCAAACCAACAAAUCCGGCUUAGGCACCAUGAACCUGGGAGGCAGGCUGACCAGACAGACGGAGAAAGAUGAAACCGUGAGUGACUGCUCUCCACACAUAGCCAACAUUGGGCGCCUGGUGGAGGACAUGGAAAAUAAAAUCAGAAGUACACUGAAUGAGAUCUACUUUGGAAAAACAAAGGAUAUCGUCAAUGGCCUGAGGUCUGUGCAGAUGUUUGCACACAAAUCAAAGCAAGAAGCUCUCAAGAACGACCUGGUGGAGGCCUUGAAGAGAAAGCAGCAGUGUUAAACCUCUGCUUCACGCUAACCGGACACGUCAUGCACUCAUU